Molecule: long non-coding RNA, 203 nt
Filed under: Vigna radiata
Lineage: Eukaryota; Viridiplantae; Streptophyta; Magnoliopsida; Fabales; Fabaceae
Description: long non-coding RNA (VRAD_LNC008878)
Source: RNAcentral
GUAGAGUUGCUCAAUUAUGUAGAAAAAUCUGCAUAAUUCACGCCGGGCGCCCAAAAAGGGCGCUGGGUGCCAUUUCCUGCUGUUUUCCAGCAGAAAUUCACGCUGGGCGCCCAUAAAUGGUGUUGGGCGCAGGUUUCUGCUGUUGCUUUUGUUUUUGAUAGUUUGGGGGGUUCUGGACGUCUGUUUUGGACGUUCUUUAGGUC